AUUUUGGAUAAUGGGGGAAACUCUGAUCCAGCCAUGCCGCGUGUAUGAUGUAGGCAAUCGGGUAGUAAAGUACUUUUGGCUGAGAAGAAAAGUGAUCCCCUAAUACGAGAUACUGCUGAUCGUAUCCGCAGAAUAAGCACCGGCUGACCACGUGCCGUCAGCCGCGGUAAUACGAAGGGUGCAAGCGUUAAUCGGAAUUACUGGGCGUAAAGCGUGUGUAGGCGGUUCGGAAAGAAAGAUGUGAAAUCCCAGGGCUCAACCUUGGAAAUGCAUUUUUAACUGACGAGCUAGAGUAUGUCAGAGGGAGGUAGAAUUCCACGUGUAGCAGUGAAAUGCGUAGAUAUGUGGAGGAAUACCGAUGGCGAAGGCAGCCCCCUGGGAUAAUACUGACGCUCAGACACGAAAGCGUGGGGAGCAAACAG
RNAcentral lists this ribosomal RNA (422 nucleotides) under uncultured bacterium. RNAcentral describes it as "partial 16S ribosomal RNA". It matches the Rfam family "Bacterial small subunit ribosomal RNA", at positions 361 to 775 of the family's 1533-position model. The record is from RNAcentral.